This 430-nucleotide ribosomal RNA is filed under the name Bacteroidota bacterium. RNAcentral describes it as "Bacteroidetes bacterium partial 16S ribosomal RNA". It matches the Rfam family "Bacterial small subunit ribosomal RNA", at positions 355 to 776 of the family's 1533-position model. The record is from RNAcentral. Lineage: Bacteria; Pseudomonadati; Bacteroidota.
UAGGGAAUCUUCGGCAAUGGGGGGAACCCUGACCGAGCAACGCCGCGUGAGUGAAGAAGGUUUUCGGAUCGUAAAGCUCUGUUGUUAAGGAAGAACGAGUGUGAGAAUGGAAAGUUCAUGCUGUGACGGUACUUAACCAGAAAGGGACGGCUAACUACGUGCCAGCAGCCGCGGUAAUACGUAGGUGGCAAGCGUUGUCCGGAUUUAUUGGGCGUAAAGCGAGCGCAGGCGGUCAAUUAAGUCUGAUGUGAAAGCCCCCGGCUCAACCGGGGAGGGUCAUUGGAAGCUGGUUGACUUGAGUGCAGAAGAGGAGAGUGGAAUUCCAUGUGUAGCGGUGAAAUGCGUAGAUAUAUGGAGGAACACCAGUGGCGAAGGCGACUUUCUGGUCUGUAACUGACGCUGAUGUGCGAAAGCGUGGGGAUCAAACAGG